UGGGGAAUAUUGGACAAUGGGCGCAAGCCUGAUCCAGCCAUGCCGCGUGAGUGAUGAAGGCCCUAGGGUUGUAAAGCUCUUUCACCGGUGAAGAUAAUGACGGUAACCGGAGAAGAAGCCCCGGCUAACUUCGUGCCAGCAGCCGCGGUAAUACGAAGGGGGCUAGCGUUGUUCGGAUUUACUGGGCGUAAAGCGCACGUAGGCGGACUUUUAAGUCAGGGGUGAAAUCCCGGGGCUCAACCCCGGAACUGCCUUUGAUACUGGAAGUCUUGAGUAUGGUAGAGGUGAGUGGAAUUCCGAGUGUAGAGGUGAAAUUCGUAGAUAUUCGGAGGAACACCAGUGGCGAAGGCGGCUCACUGGACCAUUACUGACGCUGAUGUGCGAAAGCGUGGGGAGCAAACAGG
This 404-nucleotide ribosomal RNA is filed under the name Actinomycetes bacterium. Its description in RNAcentral is "Actinobacteria bacterium partial 16S ribosomal RNA". It matches the Rfam family "Bacterial small subunit ribosomal RNA", at positions 355 to 776 of the family's 1533-position model. RNAcentral also lists the same sequence under 1 other name. The record is from RNAcentral. Lineage: Bacteria; Bacillati; Actinomycetota; Actinomycetes.